Molecule: ribosomal RNA, 774 nt
Filed under: uncultured Neocallimastigales
Lineage: Eukaryota; Fungi; Neocallimastigomycota; Neocallimastigomycetes; Neocallimastigales
Description: partial large subunit ribosomal RNA
Rfam family: Eukaryotic large subunit ribosomal RNA
Source: RNAcentral
UACUAGAGUAGCACUCGCAUAUCAAUAAGCGGAGGAAAAGAAACUAACAAGGAUUCCCCUAGUAACGGCGAGUGAAGCGGGAAGAGCUCAAAUUUGAAAUCUUAAAGGGUUUCCCUUUACGAAUUGUAGUUUAAAGAAGUGUUUUCUGUUGAGGUUUUGGUAAAAGUUCUUUGGAAUAGGACAUCAUAGAGGGUGAGAAUCCCGUAUUUGACCUUUACUUUCAACUUUGUGAUACACUUUCAAAGAGUCGGAUUGUUUGGGAAUGCAGUCCAAAAUGGGUGGUAAAUUUCAUCUAAAGCUAAAUAUUGGCGAGAGACCGAUAGCGAACAAGUACCGUGAGGGAAAGAUGAAAAGAACUUUGAAAAGAGAGUUAAACAGUACGUGAAAUUGUCAAAAGGGAAGCGUUUGACACCAGUGUUGUUUUUCUGAAAAUCAAUUAAAGAACUGUUUAUGCUAAGUUGUUUAGACUUUAUCAGCUAUCUGCUUAGUUUUGAGCUUUUCUUUAAUGCACUUUUCAGUUAACAAGUCAACAUCAAUUUCUUUUGCUGUAAAAAAGCUUGAGGAAGGUGGCUUGAGAUUCGUCUUAAGUGUUUAUAGCCUCUUGCCUAUGCAGUCGGAGAGAUUGAGGUCUGCAGCGUAGAUCCUUCGGGGCUAAAUGCAUUUGUGCUAAGUUAUAGCAUUUUAUAGACAACUUGUUGACUAUGAUUUGUCUUGUAGCUUACUCGCUUAUGUUAUUUUACCUACGCUUAGGAUGUUGAACUCUAUCACACACAG